UGUCAUGUGGAUGACUGAGUAUAAGAACUAGAACCGCAACUGCUUCCCAAAAGCUAAAGUAGUGUUUCCUUGUUAGAAGAUUCAAAGCCAAAGAAU
This 96-nucleotide small RNA is filed under the name Arabidopsis thaliana (thale cress). RNAcentral's name for it is "ATSL198420". The record is from RNAcentral. Lineage: Eukaryota; Viridiplantae; Streptophyta; Magnoliopsida; Brassicales; Brassicaceae.